GAUCCUGGCUCAGGAUGAACGCUGGCGGCGUGCCUAAUACAUGCAAGUCGAACGCGCAGCGAGAGGUGCUUGCACCUUUCAAGCGAGUGGCGAACGGGUGAGUAACACGUGGAUAACCUGCCUCAAGGCUGGGGAUAACAUUUGGAAACAGAUGCUAAUACCGAAUAAAACUUAGUAUCGCAUGAUAUCAAGUUAAAAGGCGCUACGGCGUCACCUAGAGAUGGAUCCGCGGUG
This 234-nucleotide ribosomal RNA is filed under the name uncultured bacterium. RNAcentral's name for it is "partial 16S ribosomal RNA". It matches the Rfam family "Bacterial small subunit ribosomal RNA", at positions 15 to 238 of the family's 1533-position model. The record is from RNAcentral.